This 567-nucleotide ribosomal RNA is filed under the name uncultured bacterium. Its description in RNAcentral is "bacterial SSU rRNA". It matches the Rfam family "Bacterial small subunit ribosomal RNA", at positions 917 to 1482 of the family's 1533-position model. The record is from RNAcentral.
GGGCCCGCACAAGCAGCGGAGCAUGUUGUUUAAUUCGACGCAACGCGAAGAACCUUACCUGGGUUUGACAUGACCGUGUAACUCCUGGAAACAGGAGCCCCUCGCAAGAGGCGCGGCCACAGGUGGUGCAUGGUUGUCGUCAGCUCGUGUCGUGAGAUGUUGGGUUAAGUCCCGCAACGAGCGCAACCCUCGUUCUAUGUUGCCAGCGCGUUAUGGCGGGGACUCAUAGGAGACUGCCGGGGUCAACUCGGAGGAAGGUGGGGACGACGUCAAAUCAUCAUGCCCCUUAUGUCUUGGGCUUCACGCAUGCUACAAUGGCCGGUACAAAGGGUUGCGAUACUGUGAGGUGGAGCUAAUCCCAAAAAGCCGGUCUCAGUUCGGAUUGGGGUCUGCAACUCGACCCCAUGAAGUCGGAGUCGCUAGUAACCGCAGGUCAGCACACUGCGGUGAAUACGUUCCCGGGCCUUGUACACACCGCCCGUCACGUCAUGAAAGUCAGAGAUACCUGAAGCCGGUGGGCCAACCGCAAGGAGGUAGCCGUCGAAGGCAGAGCUGGCGAUUGGGACG